UAAAAAGAACAAUAAUACGUAAUGUUACUCAAGUAAUAAUUCUAGGGAAUGUUGAAAUCCGUGGAGUCGAUAAAUAUCCUCCCCUGGGUUGGAAGCACAGAGCGCCGUCACAGAAGGAACCUAAACAAGUACGUUGUUCCUCCCCUGGGCUGGAAGAAGUACGGAGCACGUUGUUCCCACUAGCUCCGCCUAAUGGUACGGGACCACCCACAGCACGAGAAGUUGGUGAACCUUCGCCUGAAGCGGCACUUCGGACCGCUAACGACGUGUAUCUACUAGUAGGUCCACUAGCACUGCAGCCUCCAGUGGCUCCACCUCCAGGAGCUACGGAGGCAGGACCCCCUCCAGGUGGCCGCAGACUUGAGGUUCGAAACCAUCUAUGUAGAUAUCUUCACCAGACAAAUCCAACCACCACCUUGCGAUCCCUUCCAUGGGUGGAAAGCUACUACCAAUACAAGCAGACUACAAUUUACCCUACAGA
This 481-nucleotide ribosomal RNA is filed under the name Triticum aestivum (bread wheat). RNAcentral describes it as "partial small subunit ribosomal RNA". Lineage: Eukaryota; Viridiplantae; Streptophyta; Magnoliopsida; Poales; Poaceae. The record is from RNAcentral.